UUAGCUAUUUGCCUUCAAAUAAACGCGUUUCAAAUCGCACUGCUUGUUACAUUAUAAGCACGCUUCAUAAACAAAGCAAGUAACACCGAAAUUGUCGACUUGUAUUUAUGCAAACCGACCGAGGGCGGGAUAACCAUCUAACUGCUGAAAAUUCUUAUUUUGAACUUGUUUUAAUAUUGAAUAAUUAUAAAAACGUUUAGGUCCAAAACCUUAAAGCCGUAAUGUAAUUUAAAACGACCGGUUACACCCUGAGCGCACGUUUUUUCAUUAGAGCUUCACCCUU
This 283-nucleotide unclassified non-coding RNA is filed under the name Melitaea cinxia (Glanville fritillary). Its description in RNAcentral is "misc RNA ENSMCXG00005015613.1". The record is from RNAcentral. Lineage: Eukaryota; Metazoa; Arthropoda; Insecta; Lepidoptera; Nymphalidae.